RNAcentral lists this ribosomal RNA (464 nucleotides) under Vreelandella stevensii. Its description in RNAcentral is "partial 16S ribosomal RNA". It matches the Rfam family "Bacterial small subunit ribosomal RNA", at positions 338 to 794 of the family's 1533-position model. Lineage: Bacteria; Pseudomonadati; Pseudomonadota; Gammaproteobacteria; Oceanospirillales; Halomonadaceae. The record is from RNAcentral.
CCUACGGGAGGCUGCAGUGGGGAAUAUUGGACAAUGGGCGAAAGCCUGAUCCAGCCAUGCCGCGUGUGUGAAGAAGGCCUUCGGGUUGUAAAGCACUUUCAGUGGGGAAGAAAGCCUUGGGGCUAAUACCCUCGAGGAAGGACAUCACCCACAGAAGAAGCACCGGCUAACUCCAUGCCAGCAGCCGCGGUAAUACGGAGGGUGCGAGCGUUAAUCGGAAUUACUGGGCGUAAAGCGCGCGUAGGCGGUCUGAUAAGCCGGUUGUGAAAGCCCCGGGCUCAACCUGGGAACGGCAUCCGGAACUGUCAGGCUAGAGUGCAGGAGAGGAAGGUAGAAUUCCCGGUGUAGCGGUGAAAUGCGUAGAGAUCGGGAGGAAUACCAGUGGCGAAGGCGGCCUUCUGGACUGACACUGACGCUGAGGUGCGAAAGCGUGGGUAGCAAACAGGAUUAGAUACCCCUGUAGU